ACCAUAUGCGGCAGUCACGGUCCGCUGCGUCGCAAGAUGUGGUGGCUAAGAGGGAACCCGGUGAGCUGAUCCAGAGAUGGAACGGCGAGGCCGGGGCUGCCCCCGCAACUGUAAGCGGCGAGCCCUUCGUCCAAUCCGCGUCACUGGAGCCAAGCUCCGGGAAGGCCGGACGGAAGGCGUUUGACCCGCGAGCCAGGAGACCUGCCGCGACUUGCUUGAACCU
Molecule: non-coding RNA, 223 nt
Filed under: Aureimonas sp. AU20
Lineage: Bacteria; Pseudomonadati; Pseudomonadota; Alphaproteobacteria; Hyphomicrobiales; Aurantimonadaceae
Also listed under: 1 other name
Source: RNAcentral